UAACCUGCCCAAGAGAUCGGGAUAACACCUGGAAACAGAUGCUAAUACCGGAUAACAACAGAUGAUGCCUAUCAACUGUUUAAAAGAUGGUUCUGCUAUCACUCUUGGAUGGACCUGCGGUGCAUUAGCUAGUUGGUAGGGUAACGGCCUACCAAGGCGAUGAUGCAUAGCCGAGUUGAGAGACUGAUCGGCCACAUUGGGACUGAGACACGGCCCAAACUCCUCGGGAGGCAGCAGCA
Molecule: ribosomal RNA, 239 nt
Filed under: uncultured Lactobacillus sp.
Lineage: Bacteria; Bacillati; Bacillota; Bacilli; Lactobacillales; Lactobacillaceae
Description: partial 16S ribosomal RNA
Rfam family: Bacterial small subunit ribosomal RNA
Source: RNAcentral